GAUGAAGAACGUAGCGAAAUGCGAUACUUGGUGUGAAUUGCAGAAUCCCGUGAACCAUCGAGUCUUUGAACGCAAGUUGCGCCCGAAGCCUUUUGGCCGAGGGCACGUCUGCCUGGGCGUCACGCAUCGCGUCGCCCCCAACAAAUUCUCCGUCAGGGGAGCUUGUGUUUCGGGGGCGGAUACUGGUCUCCCGUGCUCAUGGCGCGGUUGGCCGAAAUAGGAGUCCCUUCGAUGGACGCACGAACUAGUGGUGGUCGUAAAAACCCUCGUCUUUUGUUUCGUGCCGUUAGUCGCGAGGGAAGCUCUUCAAAAACCCCAGCGCGUCGUCUCUUGACGGCGCUUCGACCGCGACCCCAGGUCAGGCGGGACUACCCGCUGAGUUUAAGCAUAUCAAUAAGCGGAGGA
Molecule: unclassified non-coding RNA, 405 nt
Filed under: soil metagenome
Description: partial contains 5.8S ribosomal RNA, internal transcribed spacer 2, and large subunit ribosomal RNA
Rfam family: 5.8S ribosomal RNA (bases 1-122)
Source: RNAcentral